This 433-nucleotide ribosomal RNA is filed under the name uncultured bacterium. Its description in RNAcentral is "partial 16S ribosomal RNA". It matches the Rfam family "Bacterial small subunit ribosomal RNA", at positions 29 to 507 of the family's 1533-position model. The record is from RNAcentral.
AACGAACGCUGGCGGCAUGCCUAACACAUGCAAGUCGAACGAGACCUUCGGGUCUAGUGGCGCACGGGUGCGUAACGCGUGGGAACCUGCCUUUAGGUUCGGAAUAACUCAGAGAAAUUUGAGCUAAUACCGGAUGAUGUCUUCGGACCAAAGAUUUAUCGCCUUUAGAUGGGCCCGCGUUGGAUUAGCUAGUUGGUGGGGUAAAGGCCUACCAAGGCGACGAUCCAUAGCUGGUCUGAGAGGAUGAUCAGCCACACUGGGACUGAGACACGGCCCAGACUCAUACGGGAGGCAGCAGUGGGGAAUAUUGGACAAUGGGCGAAAGACUGAUCCAGCAAUGCCGCGUGAGUGAUGAAGGCCUUAGGGUUGUAAAGCUCUUUUACCCGAGAUGAUAAUGACAGUAUCGGGAGAAUAAGCGCCGGCUAACUCCGUG